GUAACGGCGAGUGAAGCGGCAACAGCUCAAAUUUGAAAUCUGGCCCUCGGGUCCGAGUUGUAAUUUGUAGAGGAUGCUUUUGGCGCGGUGCCUUCCGAGUUCUCUGGAACGAGACGCCUUAGAGGGUGAGAGCCCCGUACGGUUGGACACCAAGCCUCUGUAAAGCUCCUUCGACGAGUCGAGUAGUUUGGGAAUGCUGCUCUAAAUGGGAGGUAAAUUUCUUCUAAAGCUAAAUAUUGGCCAGAGACCGAUAGCGCACAAGUAGAGUGAUCGAAAGAUGAAAAGCACUUUGAAAAGAGGGUUAAAUAGCACGUGAAAUUGUUGAAAGGGAAGCGUUUGCGACCAGACCUUUUCCUAGCGGAUCAUCCGGUGUUCUCACCGGUGCACUUCGCUAGGUUUAGGCCAGCAUCGGUUUCUGUAGGGGGAUAAAAGCUCUGGGAACGUAGCUCCUCCGGGAGUGUUAUAGCCCUCUGCAUAAUACCCUUACGGGGACCGAGGACCGCGCUUUUAGCAAGGAUGCUGGCGUAAUGGUCGUCAACGACCCGUCUUGAAACACGGACCAAGGAGUCGAACAUUUGUGCGAGUGUUUGGGUGUUAAACCCUCACGCGUAAUGAAGGUGAACGUAGGUGAGAGCCCUUUACGGGUGCAUCAUCGACCGAUCCUGAUGUCUUCGGAUGGAUUUGAGUAAGAGCAUAACUGUUCGGACCCGAAAGAUGGUGAACUAUGCGUGGAUAGGGUGAAGCCAGGGAAACUCUGGUGGAGGCUCGCAGCGGUUCUGACGUGCAAAUCGAUCGUCAAAUCUGCGCAUGGGGGCGAAAGACUUAUCGAACCAUCUAGUAGCUGGUUACCGCCGAAGUUUCCCUCAGGAUAGCAGUGUUUUCUUCAGUUUUAUGAGGUAAAGCGA
This 905-nucleotide ribosomal RNA is filed under the name Xylaria sp. 37CRSTBRT. RNAcentral describes it as "eukaryotic LSU rRNA". It matches the Rfam family "Eukaryotic large subunit ribosomal RNA", at positions 83 to 1016 of the family's 3401-position model. The record is from RNAcentral. Lineage: Eukaryota; Fungi; Ascomycota; Sordariomycetes; Xylariales; Xylariaceae.